RNAcentral lists this ribosomal RNA (718 nucleotides) under uncultured bacterium. RNAcentral describes it as "bacterial SSU rRNA". It matches the Rfam family "Bacterial small subunit ribosomal RNA", at positions 188 to 907 of the family's 1533-position model. The record is from RNAcentral.
UCAUUUCAUGGGGAGGAAACCUACGGGGUAUUUCGAGGGGCUCGCGGCCUAUCAGCUAGUUGGCGAGGUAACGGCUCACCAAGGCAACGACGGGUAGCUGGUCUGAGAGGAUGGCCAGCCACAUUGGGACUGAGAUACGGCCCAGACUCCUACGGGAGGCAGCAGUGGGGAAUCUUGCGCAAUGGCCUAACGGCUGACGCAGCGACGCCGCGUGUGGGAUGAAGCUCCUCGGAGUGUAAACCACUGUUGCCCGGGACGAAUAGCUCGAUUAAUCGAGCCUGACGGUACCGGGUGAGGAAGCACCGGCUAACUCCGUGCCAGCAGCCGCGGUAAUACGGGGGGUGCGAGCGUUGUCCGGAAUCACUGGGCGUAAAGGGCGCGUAGGUGGUUUGAUAAGGGUGUGGUGAAAGUCCGGGGCUCAACCCCGGAUCUGCCGUGCCGACUGUCAAACUCGAGGACUGUAGAGGCAGACGGAAUUCCGGGUGUAGCGGUGGAAUGCGUAGAGAUCCGGAGGAAGACCGGUAGCGAAGGCGGUCUGCUGGGCAGUUUCUGACACUGAGGCGCGACAGCGUGGGGAGCAAACAGGAUUAGAUACCCUGGUAGUCCACGCCGUAAACGAUGGGUACUAGGUGCCUGGGGGAGCGACCCUCUGGGUGCCGGCGCUAACGCAGGAAGUACCCCGCCUGGGGAGUACGACCGCAAGGUUGAAACUCAAAGG